RNAcentral lists this ribosomal RNA (159 nucleotides) under Symphyotrichum anticostense. RNAcentral describes it as "5.8S ribosomal RNA". It matches the Rfam family "5.8S ribosomal RNA". From Rfam's summary of the family: 5.8S ribosomal RNA (5.8S rRNA) is a component of the large subunit of the eukaryotic ribosome. It is transcribed by RNA polymerase I as part of the 45S precursor that also contains 18S and 28S rRNA. The record is from RNAcentral. Lineage: Eukaryota; Viridiplantae; Streptophyta; Magnoliopsida; Asterales; Asteraceae.
CGACUCUCGGCAACGGAUAUCUCGGCUCACGCAUCGAUGAAGAACGUAGCAAAAUGCGAUACUUGGUGUGAAUUGCAGAAUCCCGUGAACCAUCGAGUUUUUGAACGCAAGUUGCGCCCGAAGCCAUUCGGUUGAGGGCACGUCUUCCUGGGCGUCACG